Molecule: ribosomal RNA, 489 nt
Filed under: uncultured Alteromonadales bacterium
Lineage: Bacteria; Pseudomonadati; Pseudomonadota; Gammaproteobacteria; Alteromonadales
Description: bacterial SSU rRNA
Rfam family: Bacterial small subunit ribosomal RNA
Source: RNAcentral
UUGAACGCUGGCGGCAGGCCUAACACAUGCAAGUCGAGCGGUAACAUUUCUAGCUUGCUAGAAGAUGACGAGCGGCGGACGGGUGAGUAAUGCCUGGGAAUAUGCCGAGAUGAGGGGGAUAACAGUUGGAAACGACUGCUAAUACCGCAUAGUACCUACGGGUCAAAGCAGGGGAUUUUUCGAAACCUUGCGCAUCUUGAUUAGCCCAGGUGGGAUUAGCCAGUAGGUGAGGUAAAGGCUCACCUAGGCGACGAUCCCUAGCUGUUCUGAGAGGAUGAUCAGCCACACUGGGACUGAGACACGGCCCAGACUCCUACGGGAGGCAGCAGUGGGGAAUAUUGGACAAUGGGCGCAAGCCUGAUCCAGCCAUGCCGCGUGUGUGAAGAAGGCCUUCGGGUUGUAAAGCACUUUCAGUCAGGAGGAAAGGAUGCUGGUUAAUACCCAGUGUCUGUGACGUUACUGACAGAAGAAGGACCGGCUAACUCCGUG